This 3867-nucleotide long non-coding RNA is filed under the name Podarcis lilfordi (Lilford's wall lizard). The record is from RNAcentral. Lineage: Eukaryota; Metazoa; Chordata; Lepidosauria; Squamata; Lacertidae.
GAUAUAAAGAUGUCAGAUAUUUGAUAUUAACCUUUAUCUAUUUUCUUUCAAUCUUUAUUUAAAUUUUUUGGGUGAGGGGAAUCUUAGUUCCUAUUUCCUGAUCUUUAAGGCAAAACUUUUAUAGAUUUAGAAUUCUGAUCUAACAUACACUUUUUCCAUGGAGGAGACUUGUAUUGUCUUGCAAAAUCCAUUUCCGUUGCAACAAGAGCCUGGGAAAGCGUUAUCCAAAGACGUUUAUCCCACUAAGGUCCAGAGGGAGUGGUUGUGAAAUAAUCGUUUUAUGUGUGGCACUGACAAGCAACAGCAACUUUAAAGAGAAGGAAAUGCUGUCCUUUCAAACUUCCUUAUUUACAAAAAAAAAUAACAAAACAAAAAACUUGAAUUGCAGUCAUUAAGAAAAACAUCUGGUAUAUUGCUUUGAUUUGCAACACUAACUGUUGGACAGAAGCAAAACAUUUUCCCCCAAAGAAGCUAAUAAUUGAGCAUUCAUAUCCAUGUAUAACCUGUCAUUUAUUCCCCUCAUCAGCAACUGCUCGAGUCUGAUAAAAUUAAACACUCAAGUCAGGCAGAUUUUGUUAAAAGCAAUAAUUACAUUAUUACUAGAAUAUACAAUUAAGUAAUGAAAAAACCAGAAUGACACUGUGCAGCAGUAUUUUAUCCACUUUUCAAAAAUAUCACUGGACUGAAAACAUGCAGAAUAAUAGAAAGUAAUAACAACACUUCCACUGAACUAUCACAGUGCCCAAUUUAAAACUUCAGCCACAGGCAAAAUACAUAAAUGAUUAGCAUUGUGGUGUUUAUUUUAAUUACACUCUGCAAUUAGAAUCCAACAGCCUGUCAAAUCAUUUAAGAUCCAGAGAAAACCAAUAAUUUAAAAGCACUGAGCGCCACUUAGAAAACUUGCCCCUUGUUUGAAACAGACUUGUUAUGUCAGACAACUUCCCGACAAUAUAACAAUUGUACAACCAACCACAAACUGUUUCCCAUUCUAGUAAUAUCUAAAUACAAUACAGUAUAUGCAUAUAUGCUUUUGCGUUGAUAAGUUGUGAAAGUUCAUGCAAUCCAGUUUAGACAUGCAUCUAAGACCAUCAGGACUGGGUUCUUACAGUAGCAUGGUGCAAUGAAUGCCACAGCAGGGCUGUUCCUUCCUGCACUACUAGAGUAACAUGAUAUGCACCAGAGGAGGCACAGUAUGGAAUGGUCUUGCGAUUCUCAAAUUUUACAGCAACGCAGAGAAGCCAGCACAACUAUGGCAACAAGGUAGUGAACCAGGGUUGUAUCCACUGCAAGCCUUACUCGGAGUACAUCAAUUGAAAUUAAUGAAAGUAAGAUAGUCAUUUCCAUUAACUUCAUUAGUUCUACUCUGAGCAGGACUAGCAUGGUAUACACCUCUCAGUCUCUGUUAUAGCCAAUAGGUGAGUAAUAAUGGGUAAUUCAGAUAUCCUACUCCUCAAAUUGCCUUUUCCCCUUACAGUGUUGCAGCUAUGAAGAACUGAAAUGGGUACCAACCAAAUAAUAAUAAUUUUGGCUGGAAAUCGUGAGCAACUUCUAUCAAUUCAUUCAGUAAAAACAGACCAAAGCUCUGACCAUUUUUUUCCUUUAUUUAAGUUAUCAGUUCUACUUUCCCUUCCUCCUCCACCCUGUAAUUGCAAAGCAAGGGAAAAGACUUCCUAACUUGUUUGUGCUUUACACCCUUUACCCCAAUGACUAUCUUCCUUUGGAGAGGGAGGAAGAACAAAAAAACCCCCAAUGCAAUGGAAAAUCUGGACGCAGAAUAGGAUUUGCAUAUUUGCAUUGUUAUAACUUGUUAACAUUAUAUAUCUCAAAGGUAGAAUUUGGGGGUUUUAGCAUAAAAGUUAGUGCAUUAAGGACUAUCACCAUAUCUGGUUAUUUGGUGCACUUGUCACAUGACAAUUAUACUGAAACUUCCCCCAAUUAACACAUCUUAGCAGCACCAUUACCCAUGGGCAUAUCAUAGAGUGCUCACAUAUGUUCAGAUGCCCACCCACAUUGACAACAGAACCUUUCACGAUUCAUCACAAUUAGCAGAAUUAUUUCCAGAUUAAUAAUAAUAAUAAUAAUAAUAAUAAUAAUUUAUUUGAACCCAACCCAUCUGGCUGGGUUUUUCCAGCCACUCUGGGAGGCUCACAAUAAAAUAUUAAAAACAUGAUAAGGCAUCAGACAUUUAAAACUUCCCUAAACAGGGCUGCCUUCAGGUAUUUUCAGAGUGUGGUCACAUUGGCUUGUAGGUACAACAGCCAAUCUGCAAAAUAUCUAUUUAUGCCAGGAGCAGAAGAUGGCUAUUUACCCAAACCAAAAUGCCAAGAGUUUACCAAAAGAUGGCAAAAUGUGAAGGGAGAAAAUCACCCAGGAGAACCCUUAACAAUUGUAUUUUAUGAUGUGGGAAAUUAAAAACUCAGUAAAAUAUGAAAACAGCAUGUAAGCAAAGUUAAAUUACCUUACAAAAAAUAUGCAUAUAGGAAAACAAUUGUUUAAGGAGAUAAACAUACAUUCCAACUCAGUGAAGAAGCAUAUAACAAUCCUUAAAAACUAACAGGAAAAGCAGUCCCUCCUCAUUUACUGGAAUACUAUACAUAGUAAUCCUCCUAUUCCACACUAGUUUCAAGCUAGUCAGAAAACAUUGUUUAAUUAGGGUAGUGUAAUGUGUUAAAGAAUGUGGUUCUGCCCACAAGGAAGGCUGUGGGAUCAGCAUUUCAAAUCCUAGUUCACACAAGACAACUAUUGGCUCUGUUGGGAAAGCGAGUGCUUUUCAGCCUCAGUUCCUAUCUGUCAAAGAGAAAUAAGUGACAUACUGUACAAUAUGAAUAAAUGUGUUCAUUUUCCAAAUGCAUUCAUUCACUCUCAAAAUUUAGUGGUACUUCUUGUCCUCUACUAAUUUUUGAAGCUACUCUCAUCUUCAUUCCAGCAACCCUUUUGAGAUUUCUUUAAGGUGGGGGGGGGGAACCUCAGCCCUGAGCGGUUUUGCAAGGCUGAAAUGUGUCCCUGAACUCUGAUAAUGCUUUUCUGUUGCUUGCCUGGACAAAGGAUAUAGAGAAGUGAAUGUGUAGAAACUAGCCUACUAUACAAAGAUAAAAUUCACAUUUGCUGCUUUGCUUAGUUUUUUUUUUUUUUUGCCUCUGGUCCAGACCACUACUGGCAUGUGGCCCCCAGAAGAUUACGCAGAACAGAAUGCAGCCCUCAAGCUGAAAAGAGCUCACCAUCCCUGCCUUAAAGCUUAAGCAGAUCCUUUGUUUUUGCAAUGUUUGACGUACAUUCUUUCUUCUAUCAUUUCCAACAACAGCAUUUCAUAAAAAUGUAUUUUUUUAAAAAAAUGAACAUAUGUGACAGACAAGUAAACUCCAGUUUCACCAAGUGAGAACACAAUACAUCAAUAUGCAGACAAAAAGAAAAUGGUAACACAUGCAAGUACAGUCAUACCUCUAGUUGAGUUAGGUUCAGGUUGCGGAUUUUUGGGUUGCAAACAUGGCAAACCCGGAAGUGUAUACUUCCAGGUUUUGCCGCGCAUGCACAGAAGCCUUCUGUGUGCAGGAGCGCUCUAUUGCGUUACACGCAAGCGCAGAAGCGGCGCUCUACUUAAGACUUUUCAGGGUGCGAACGGCGCCCCGGAACGGAUUGCAUCCAUAAGUAGAGGUACCACUGUAAAGAAAACAUGGCAAGGAGUAGACAACACAGGUAAAAAUGGUGCGAGCCAUACCAACAAACCUACACAAAAUAUACCGCAUUUUUCGCUCUGUAAGACACACUUUUUCCCUCCUAAAAAGUAAGGGGGAAUGCGUGUGCGUCUUAUGGAGUGAAUGCAGGCGUGAGGCUCUGCUCACCGCUCCCUUUAAAGAGCCGUGUGGAGCA